GUGUCAGCCGCCGCGGUAAUACGUAGGGUCCAAGCGUUAAUCGGAAUUACUGGGCGUAAAGCGUGCGCAGGCGGUUGUACAAGACCGAUGUGAAAUCCCCGGGCUUAACCUGGGAAUUGCAUUGGUGUCUGCACGGCUAGAGUGUGUCAGAGGGGGGCAGAAUUCCACGUGUAGUAGUGAAAUGCGUAGAGAUGUGGAGGAAUACCGAUGGCGAAGGCAGCCCCCUGGGAUAACACUGACGCUCAUGCACGAAAGCGUGGGGAGCAAACAGGAUUAGAAACCCCCGUAGUCC
Molecule: ribosomal RNA, 292 nt
Filed under: uncultured Ralstonia sp.
Lineage: Bacteria; Pseudomonadati; Pseudomonadota; Betaproteobacteria; Burkholderiales; Burkholderiaceae
Description: partial 16S ribosomal RNA
Rfam family: Bacterial small subunit ribosomal RNA
Source: RNAcentral